Non-coding RNA from Treponema porcinum, 74 nucleotides. NCBI's taxonomy places the organism in Bacteria, Pseudomonadati, Spirochaetota, Spirochaetia, Treponematales, Treponemataceae. The record is from Rfam.
GGGGCUGUAGCUCACCUGGCUAGAGCGCUACAAUGGCAUUGUAGAGGUAGUGGGUUCAAGUCCCAUCAGCUCCA